Non-coding RNA from Oryzias latipes (Japanese medaka), 741 nucleotides. Lineage: Eukaryota; Metazoa; Chordata; Actinopteri; Beloniformes; Adrianichthyidae. The record is from RefSeq and is a predicted model, not a curated record.
GGAAUGCUCCGAAAAGUGUGAAGGUAUCAAAAUACCGCUUUGGGGUUUCUUUUCUUAAAAACUCAAAAAAAUGUAUUUUGCAUGAUAUAUGCCCUUAAAUACAAAUGCAAAGUCUUUUUUCCCUCCCCUGGUAAAACUGCUAUGCAAUUGCCUGGCUUGAGUAUAGAAGGCACUGCUUCCGGGAGUGCAUCUUUAUACCCAUGAUGCUCCAGGAGCAGGACCAGUCAGACCUGUAGCCCCCUCUCCCCCCUCCAACAGCGGCAGGAGUAAAGGCUUUAUGCAAAUGUUGGAUCAAAUGCCAGAUAACGAGAGACGACAUGUUGUGUGCAUUUUAUGAAGGGAAAUGCAACACCCGUCUAAAUUCAAACCUAAUCAGAAAACUCCAACAGAACGUGACACAGAAAAAAAGGAUUUUUAAAAUAGAUGUGACGGCGUAUGCUGCCAUCACACUCCCACUGAGUGCCGUUUGUGAGAGUCAAACUCCAGAGAGGGAGAGGAUUAGAUGAACGGACCUGCCAGCAGCGCUGACCUCAACCCCAGCUGGGCUGUGCUGUUCACACCACUGACCAACAGCAACCAGGAUGUGACAAAUGCUGGUUGAAAUGCUGGGAUGACACCUACAGCUGUGUGCAACGAGGCAGGUGACCGGCAUGAGGGAAGAUGCCAGGCUAGUGUGCCUAUGUAAGCUUCUUUCACAGGCUACUGAGGUUCCCACUAGUCAAAUAAAUUAUAUUUUUUAAA